AGCACUCAGCAGAGCUGCGGCCCGGACUCGAGUCGCACUCGAAUCGUGGUCCCUGGAUACGUUCGUUGAAUUAUUUAGUAACGAUCCCCAGCUUUUUAAUGCUUCUUUUAAACAAAACCCCUCUGAAAAUGGUGCUUCUUCAGAAGUAGCAAACUACUGAAUACGAUUUAAAAAUUUUUCUAUAUUAAUUUUACUACCGAUGUUUUCGUAUGUGAUUGAAGUAAGGGCAGUGUUGCAAAUGUCUCUAUCGUUGGAAUUCCAUACAAGGUUGUUGCACUGCAGAACAGCUGUGAACGCUUACUAUCUAUCUUCUGUAGACACAAUUGGUAGUGCUUUGCAGAUUAUUACAAACAUGUUGUUGCACAAACAAUACCAUUUAGGUCACAGAGAAGGCAGCAGUCACUCUCGGAGCAGACUGCUGAGAAGACUGGAAAUAAUGAGGUAGUUCUCUGUUCCCAUUUUGGUGACUUUUUGACCCAAAGAGCAGGCAGUGCUUGGUAGGCAGGUAAUAAUAAUCCUGGGCCUCUGAAGGGGUUACAAGCUGCGUGCAUUAAGCCUCAGAACCUCUGGUGCUUCCCAUCAGUCUUAGGAGACUAUCUGUGGUUUCAGUACUCGCUGAAAUACACCUGGCAGCCGUUAGAGCAGUGGGUCUCUCGCUGUCACCUGCUCUAUUCUGAGAAUAUAGAAUACAGCAUAGGCAGUGUAUGUCUGACCUUUAUGUCAAAUUAAAUGGCCACAAUCUUGCUCCCUGCAGUUCUUCUGAGGACUUGGGGAAGCUUCUGGGUCUCACCGCUGAUCUUAUCCUCACUUUUUAAGAAAAAAAAAUGUUGUGGGUUAACUAGUACAAAUACUAAAUGAAAUGAUGGGGUCUUCAUUUUCAGCCACAGAACAGAACUAAAUGUAAUCUUACUCUUUCCACAGCCAACUGCAUAGCUUCCCUACCAUUUGUAGCGUUAGAAUUGAGCCCCGUGGCCUGAUUCUGCCAGAAGCUCUUAGUAGUUCAGAUAACUGUUCUCACCAUAUCACUUGUCAGACCAGGGUUUUGCCUUACACAGGAUCAGUAAGGAAAUUCAUCAGCUGAUUGCCAAAUCAUGCUUUCUGUGGGAGAGCACGAUGAAAACAAACAGCUAAUAAAUCUUUCUAACAUUAAAUUAUUUUAACUAAUUUUACCCUUAGUUUCAUUUGCCACUUACUAAAAUUCACUUAGAAACAAAAACAAAUCUCCUACGCAUCAACAGAAAGUACUUUAUGAAAUGCUUUAUUUAUAGUAAAUAAUGGGAUAAAUUGUAAAGAAGCCUGGAUUCUUGUAUACGCUAAUGAUGAAAACACACAAUAAAGUCCCCAGAGGCUUUCAGGAAAGACAGGUUUCAUUACUGGUUAUCAUACAGUCCACAACCAGUUAAUGCGCAACGCUUGUCCUGCAGUGUACGCACCUUGGGCCCUAACGAUGCAGAAUAUUUUUUCUGGAUAUUUUUGUUUAUUAUGUUUAGAGAGCUAGGUCUGCAUGUUAAGUUGCUGGCUGUUUCAGGGGAUUUACUAGCUUUUUAAUAUCUGUGUAGCUCUCUCUGAACUUCUGGCUUCAUUAAGAUGUAUCAAUUUUAAUGCCUAAAAAUUAAGGUGAUAAUGACUUCUGAUGCUUUGAUAGCAGUAGCGUGUUCACAUUUUUCACUGUGUGUGUGUUUUUAGUGCAGUUAAUAACUUAUUGCUUACAGUUAGAUGGAGUGGCCUGCAGCUGCUCCACUGCGAUCUGUGGGUGUUCGAGCUCUGCACCAUCCUGGCUGUGCUGUAGCCUUGAGGCUAUGCGGUGUGUGUGGUCAUUUUCUACCGCAGUUAGGCUCUGAUAACAUCACAUUAGUCAGAAUAAUGAGGAGGCCGAAGGAAAGCUAAAAUUGAAGCUUUAUGAAUCUGACUCAUUCAGUUUCUGGCACAAGGAGGUGCAAAUUGCACUUCCUGAGUUUGCAGCACACCUAGCAAACCUCAAUUACAUACCAAAUACACUGCUUUGAAAAGGCCUGCUUGCUACCUCAGCGUGUGCCCAUCUUAACUCACGUGUUGUUGCUUCCUAUUACUAAUUUUAAUGUCUGUAGCAGCUGCUUGGAGGAUCUUGCUAAGAGGCUGCUUCAUGGUGUUGCACUUCUCACCAGCACUGCAGUCUUUACUCACUGUCACUCAUAGCAGACAUCUUGAAAUAACAGCAUUCUGAUAAUCAGUUGAACAAGAGCAUGACAGACAUAGGACCCCCAUCCUCUCUGCCCUUACCUUGUGAUAGGCAGGGUACAGACAAUUGUGAACCCAGCUCGUGGUGAUAAGCAGCACGUUGCAUUGGGUAUUUUUUCUUUAAAGUUGUAAUAACUUUUUUCUGAGAUAUGUUUAGAAUUGGAAAUCUGUUCCAUCAAUCAAAAUAAUUUUAUUACCCUAAUUUCUUAUAAUAUCAAAGAGUACCCAAACCUGACCAGAGCUCUGGUGUCUGGCUGAAAGCAUGAUGCAGCCCCUUCCAGGCCACAAGCACAGUGUGAGAAAUGUCAGCAACAUGCAUUGUGUUGUAGCAGUGUAAGUCAGAUUCAGCUUACGUUGUGCAUACAGAUAGCCACAAGAUAUGCUUAGGUAGAGGAACCAGCAAAAGGAAAUUUUGUUUGCAAAUUUCUGGUGGCCAGUGCAAAGGAGGAGCUUUCUAGGGCAAGUUGGAGAAGAUGGCAUGCAUGUCUUACACAGUGCCCUUGUGGUGUACACAAAAAUUUUCUGGGCCAGAUAUCCCUGUUAGUUGGAUGCUGUCUUCUAUACUGAGUGCACAGUUGCCACUGGUAGUGAGCAUGAACAAAGCAAGGCAGCUAACUUUUCAGGACUUUCAUAGACAUCUACUUCAUUGUCAAUCUAUGACUUGACACAAAAUUUGUUAAGAAUAUAUAGAGAUUUUAAGGUUGAUUCACAUACAUUUUCCAGGCCAUUUUUAUUUUUCUUCCACAUUCAAAAUUCACUGUGUGCAUUUGAAAUUCUGGAAAAUGACGAUGAGAAUCCCAGGGAGGAAUUUUUCAUUAAAGUGAGCAGUAUAUUAACAGAAAGACAGGCACAUAAGUAUGAACUACUCCAGUUUCAACAGAGGCAAAAUACAAGGAUCUGGGAGCUGGCUUUACAAAUCAUGAGUGCCCUCAACUGAUUCGUCAGAAGGAAAAUACUUUGUAUUACUGCAUAUAGAAAAUGUAGUAAAACCAUCUCUUCAUACAGCUGAUUUCAUUUCUGUUAUUUCAGGUACGUUGCUAAUGCAAAAAAAUAGUCUGAAAACACUCUAAAAUGAAGAAAGACAUUCAAUAUUUUCUCAUGUGCCAUGAAUUAUUCUGCUGUUCCAUGUCUGUGACUGAUGCCAUCUGUUACACAGUACAAGCACUUGAAUGAGAAGAAUGAGAAGUUUGUAGUUUAGAUGAUCUUUGGGGUACAGGGUGCAAAUGGGAAGAGAACUCUGCCUUUGAUGGUACUUAACCAGUGUCUUGAUGUGUGCUGUCCUUUACUUUCUCAGUGAAACGCUACUGCCUCAUCACUUGUGCCUGUGUUAUUACAAAGCCUAAAGCUAUUUGUCAGUUACUAAGAGAAGGCAUACAAGAAAGACCAGAAGACAUAAUCAAAAAAGAACCUUCUUGCCCAACUGUGCUGGAAAUUUUCACCAGAAUUGUUGGAAUUUGUUUUAAUUUGUUUGCUGGAAUUGUUUUAAUUUUAGUUCAUACAAUCAUCAUCGUAAUUAUGCUUUUACUGCAGAAAAGGAAAACAUGCUGGCCAUUCAAACAGCUCAAACAGAAAGGUCAUAAAAACUAUCAUUAUUCUUGGACUACAAGUGAGUUUCGAUCUUUUACUACUUUUUAUAAAAAUAGCUGUCAGAAGAUAUCCUGGUAACACUAUUUUAAAUUUAUCAGCCUUUUUUUGUUCUGUUGUUUGCACAAUGCUUCAGCUUUGUGGUUUAUGGUCUGCAAAACAAAGAUCUGCAAAGACUUAACAACUGUUGAGUUUACUGAGUUAGGUGACUGAUCCCAGAUGUCAAACUCUAGCUCUUCCACCUUAAAAAAUAAAGUCAUGCCAGCACUGAAAAACAAGAAAGCCUCGGAUACUGCUGCACAGUGUUACUAUGACAUUGGCUGGAACUGAAAGGAAGCUGAACUGGUUAACAGCUUUCAGAUUCUUGUUAUUAUGACUGUGCAUUUAUUUAACUCACAAUGAACCAAGAUCAAGCAGAAGACUGAGUAUGAGAAGGCAUGUGAAAAUGCUGCAGACCUGUCAAAAGAGAACAAAAAUAGAGUUUUAUUUUAAAAUAAAGGAAAGCUUUCUUUAACUGGGUUUUAGAAAAAAAUGAUGAUUAUACAGAAUAGAGGAGAAUCUAGCUGCAGGCAACUGUUCUUAGGUAAAUAGAAAGGGCUCGGAUCACAGCUUUUCCAAAUGUGAAGUCAACUUGCAGUGGUGUCAGAAUUGCUUUCAAUGUUUGUUAAGAUAUACAAUAUUUGGUCUUCGCUUAUUACAUUUAGAACAAGGAAGUUUUAUUAACGUUUUAGUGAACUGCAAUCAUUUUGUGGAUGUGUCAGUUUUACAGUUGAAUUCUAAAAUCCUUCAAAAUUAAUAAUACAAAUCAUUAUUUAUUUAUUUAUUUAUAAAGAUUCUUCGGGUGCAGAUAUACUGGUUUUUUGUAUCAAAUGAUUCCAACUGCUGAGAAAUUACUGUGGUGCUCUGUUUAAUCAGUUUACAGAAUUGUGUCUUCACCAUCACGAAAGGUAAGGGUACACGGCUAACAAACUCUAGGCUAUAAAGUAUGCUAGCCUGCACAAGUAAGCAUGGAUAAUGAUGACAGCUUUGUUUUGGCAUAUGCUGAGAAAUUACAAACAAUUCAAUAGUCUAGGCGUUUGUUUUGCCAAUGGACAGAAUGAACAGGAAGGACACAGACACCAAGUUAAAGAAGUGAGUUUAUCUUUACUUGCAUUUAAAGUAAUUAAAUAGUAAGUGAAACGAUACACCAAGAAUAAAACAAAAGAAGGCAAUGCACCAGACCAUUACUACAUAAGAUUAACUACAAUGAUUAAGAAAGACGCAUCACCAAUUGCCCCAAUACUUUACCAUCAUCCAGAUCCACAGUCGCUGCGGAGCCCCAAUUACAGUGAAGAUUCGUAGAACAUUUCCUGUCAGCUGGGAGGUCCUCCACUGUCUUAGAAAUAAUAACUAAUCAAAUGUCCGUGGCUCUUGACCUUCUGGCAGACCAAU
Meleagris gallopavo (turkey) is the source of this 5232-nucleotide non-coding RNA. The record is from RefSeq and is a predicted model, not a curated record. Lineage: Eukaryota; Metazoa; Chordata; Aves; Galliformes; Phasianidae.